AUUGAACGCUGGCGGCAGGCCUAACACAUGCAAGUCGAACGAGUGGGGCACGGGUGUGACAUGUCGGGGAACCUGCCUGAUGGCGGGGGAUAACUACUGGAAACGGUAGCUAAUACCGCAUACCAUCGGCUUUGCCCAGAUGGGAUUAGGUAGUAGGUGGGGUAAAGGCUUACCUAGGCGACGAUCCAUAGCUGGUCUGAGAGGAUGACCAGCCACACUGGAACUGAGACACGGUCCAGACUCCUACGGGAGGCAGCAGUGGGGAAUAUUGCACAAUGGGCGCAAGCCUGACGCAGCCAUGCCGCGUGUAUGAUGAAGGCCUUCGGGUUGUAAAGUACUUUCAGCGGGGAGGCGUUACCCGCAGAAGAAGCACCGGCUAACUCCGUGCCAGCAGCCGCGGUAAUUC
Molecule: ribosomal RNA, 406 nt
Filed under: uncultured bacterium
Lineage: Bacteria
Description: partial 16S ribosomal RNA
Rfam family: Bacterial small subunit ribosomal RNA
Source: RNAcentral